This 76-nucleotide transfer RNA is filed under the name Vagococcus sp. RNAcentral's name for it is "tRNA-His". It matches the Rfam family "tRNA". From Rfam's summary of the family: Transfer RNA (tRNA) molecules are approximately 80 nucleotides in length. Their secondary structure includes four short double-helical elements and three loops (D, anti-codon, and T loops). The record is from RNAcentral. Lineage: Bacteria; Bacillati; Bacillota; Bacilli; Lactobacillales; Enterococcaceae.
GCGAUUGUGGCGAAGUGGUUAACGCACCGGAUUGUGGCUCCGGCACUCGUGGGUUCGAUUCCCAUCAGUCGCCCCU